This 276-nucleotide ribosomal RNA is filed under the name uncultured bacterium. RNAcentral's name for it is "partial 16S ribosomal RNA". It matches the Rfam family "Bacterial small subunit ribosomal RNA", at positions 47 to 339 of the family's 1533-position model. The record is from RNAcentral.
CCUAACACAUGCAAGUCGAACGAAGGUACCAGAGCUUGCUUUGGUGCCUUAGUGGCGGACGGGUGAGUAACACGUGGGAAUCUACCCAGCAGUGCGGGAUAACUACUGGAAACGGUGGCUAAUACCGCAUACGCCCUCGGGGGUAAAGUUUUUCGCUGUUGGAUGAGCCGCGCCCGAUUAGCUAGUUGGUGGGGUAAAAGCCCACCAAGGCUACGAUCGGUAGCUGGUCUGAGAGGAUGAUCAGCCACACUGGGACUGAGACACGGCCCAGACUCC